GACAUUUAAGUAACUAUCAAAUCAAAUAACAAUACUAACUGAUGGAUAUUAUCUACAUUCAUAUAGAAAUAAAAUAUCCAUUCUUGGAUGUUGCAUGGUUACAAGUUGGCACAUUCUUUACACUGAUGAGAAUACUAUUUACAUACAGAUAAAAUGUGAUGCAUUCAAAAGCUAUAAUUAGUCUUCUUUGCAGUCUUUGACAAAAGAUAACAGCAAUGUAGGCACCUGUAAAAGCAAUAAAUAAUGAUCAAAUGUCAAUCACCGUAUAAUAUGAAAGUAACAAUUUAUGCCAAUACAAAUACUUGUACUCAAUAUUCUCAUCAAUGUGUGCAUCAAUAUCAGCACCUCUCUCAACCGUAUACAUAAAAAGCUCUCUUCUUGCAAAAAGGCCACAAAUUUUGCAAGUAACUUAAAUCUCACAUGGUUAUUAAUAGCUAAUGCACCAUUAAACGGAGGAAGAGUACGAAGAAAGAGAGAGAAAGAAGUGUAGAAGUGUCAAAUGUAGUUUGUUUGACUCAAAAGAUGUUGAGACCUUUUUGAAUAAAUCAAUCGAAGAUGAAGGGGUAAAUCGUAACUGAAGAUAAUAAUCUCUAGAAUAAUGAUAGGUAAAAGGAAGAGAAUUACAGAGCUUCUUUUCAUUCAAAAUUGGUAUCUCUAGAAUAAUGAUAGGUAAAAGGAAGAGAAUUACGGAGUUUCUUUUCAUUCAAGAUUGGUAAGUUUUUUCUCUGUCCCUCUUUACAAGGUCUUUUGUCUCCCUUAUAUACUAGAAAGGAAACCUUCCCAAUCGUAAGAAACCAAAAAUACCAGGAAUAUUCUUAAUGUCCCAUAAUGGGUUUACACUUCUACUAGGGUUGUACGGUUUCUCCUUUCGCCUUGGGGUCGUCUUCCUUGGGACACCGGUUCGGAGUUACCCGGUCGUUUGUCGUACUCGUUAUAGGUCAUGGUCGGUCAAAUUUGGACCCAUACAAUUAGUCCCUCCGCUUGUCGAGAUCGCGACCGGAUGCGUCCUCAAUGAACGGACUUCAUGCAUUCUCCUAGAGAAAUUUGACCUGUGGGAACAUUAUGACGUGGCCAAUGGGAGAUGGUCGUCAUGCUCAGCAAAAUGUCGUGUGGUACACUUCUCCGGGAAGUGAUGUCAGCCUUACGUGUGUCAUCAUCACGCAGGUUUUCGAGGGGGGUAACGGCUUGGUGCUUCGAUUCUUGUGCUAUUUCGAAGCCUGUCGCCUCGAUUCUGGCGCCUCCCAAUCCUAUAAAUAGGUGGAGGAUUUGAUUUUUUGAAAAACUUUAGCCAUUCCUCUCUUGAAGACCUCUCUCUCUCUUUCCCUCUUGCUCUCAUAUCCUUCUAUAUUUCUUUCGUUCCUCAACUGAAGCUUCUUCUUCCUUCCUCCUUUUGUGUUGAUACUCCUUUAAACGAUAUUAUGCCGAGGUCUCGUCAUUAUCGCGAAGAGGUUCCUGAAGCCACCCCGUCAUCCACGGUGCCUCCUUUUGACAUCGGAGAUGUGGUGGUAGAAGAGAGUGACAGCCUUCCUACAGUAGAGGAGCUACUACCGAGGAACCCCUCAUCCCGGAGUGACUUCCUCAAAGAUCCACCUCCUACCCCGAACCCCGUAUUUUCUGAGACGGAGCAGGUCCAUAUUGAUGCCCUUCGUAUAAAGUAUGGCAUUCCUGCUCAUAUAGAAAUGAUUCCAGCGGGGAGAGAUUACGUGGACGUCCACAGACUUGGAUACUGUGCUUUCUAUGAGUAUCCUUUUAUGAUCGGUUAUACCUUUCCUCUACUCCCCUUAGCGGAAGAAUUCUGCAGAUUUUACCAAGUUUGCCCCGCACAACUUUCGCCAUACACGCUCAAGGUGCUUCUGCUAUUGACUAAGUAUGUAGAGUUGGGGGAGUUUAGCGUUUCUGUCCACCACCUUUUGCACCUGUUCACGCCUAGUUUCCUCAGGGGUACCAUGGUACAUUUGAGGCUUCGUGGUACGAAGGGCUGGUGGUUGGAACAGACGACCAGGUGAGCCGCAAAUUCUGGCACAAGUACUUCUUUGUCAAGACCGAGCACGUCGUUGUUGACUCCGCCAGAUUUCCGGAGUGGUGGAAUGGAGCUCGUAAGUGUCGUCAUUCGUUAUGUUCCUCUCUCUUCUGUAUUUACUAUAAAGCUUAUUCACUUGCCGUUUUGCAUCUAUAGGUCGUCCACCUCGCCCCAUUGCGGGUAUCAGAGAUUGGGUAGCCCGCCUGUUGCCUCAUGCAGCAGAAACUCGAACUUGGCCCGACUUCGUGCAGCGUUAUGGCCGUAAAGUUUCCUCAGGUAAACGUCUUACUUAUUACUUCUUUAGCCAUGCGACCUUACUUAAUAGUACGAACUUCUAUGAUGACAGGUCGAGGUGCUUCCAGGUGGAGGGCGCCAGUCCCCUCUUUUCAACAAGCCGUUACCACUGCAGAUACGCAGUUUGUCUUGAGUGAGUCUAUUCGAGAGGGUCGUCCUCAACCUAUCCAAUUGGGGGAUCCGUCUCGAGUCGUGGCCGCGAGGGAAGAGGUUUCUUCGGUACCGGCCGCACAUCCUUUGGAUGAAUCCUCUAACGGGGACGAGCCGUUGUCGAGGAAAAUGAGGAGGCUUGAGCUAGAGAAAGGCGUGGCUACGGACGUUGAUGGCAGCGAGGCGUCCCGGACAUCCCCUGUGCCUGUGUUCAUGGUCGAUGCCAUUUUGUCGGGGAGAUCUCCCCAAGUGGAGGGCAUUGGCCCAGGAGUUAGUUCAGUGCGCUCUGUUGAGGGUGGUGCGUCGUCCAACGUUGGGGGGCAUCGUGUACGACUCAGGUUCGGAUAUCGACCUAGAGGAUGUUAAUGAAUUUGUGGGUCACCAUACCCAUGUGGAGGUUAGGAUGGACGGAUCCGACCGUCAUGUGGUCGUUCCGGGGAACUACAACUUGCUACUGAACAGCGAGCAAGUGGCAUCGGCCCUAGCUCCUCUAUGUGCAGCUCCUGAAAGCGAGAUGCUUAGGGCGAUGAGCGACGUGGAGUUAUCUCAGAAGGUCGCUGGUAUGGCCCUGCAGGUAGGUGCCUUUCCUUCUCUUUUCGUUGUUGGGUUGGUGCGAUAAUCGUCAUUUUAUACUUUGUUUCUGACCUCUUCCCUUCUUUUUUGUCAGACCCUCGUCAUGGAGGUAGAGAGAGAGCGUCGAGAGAGGAUACGUAAGGGCCUUUUAUGAGAAGAUGUCGUCCAAAUAUCAUCAGUAUCGGGCUAAGCACCGAGUGAUGGCCGACAUUUAUCAUUAGGACCCUGAGUUUCAAGUUUUUCGUGAGGGGAUCAAGCAGCGGGAGGACCAGUUGGAGCGCAAGAUUGAGGAGCUGAGGGAUAGGGAUAAAGAGCUCAUGAAGGUUGUCGCCCGUAACAGUGAGUUGGAGGCCUCCCUUAAGGCGAAGGAGGACGAGCUCGAGUUGAGGCGGGGGGGGGGGGGGUGACGGCUGAGAAUGCCGACUUACAAGCGAAGGUGGCCGACUUGACCACUGGGUUGAGUACUAAGGUAGCGAGGAUUGAGGGGCUUAAGGGCGAGCUGAACGUUAGCGCUGAUAAGUUGGCGGCAGCUAUUUCUGAAUCGAUAUCUUUAGAAGAUGCCCUCCGCAUUUCUAGAUCCGAGUUGACUGAGGAGAAGGAAGCCUCUGGUCGUCGGGUGGCAGGGCUCGAAGGGCGUGUCAAAAAACUGGAGGCGGAGCUGACCACACUAAACGGACAAAUGGCCUCGCUGAGGGCGGAGGAUGCGCGUCGACGUUCUCAGCCUUCUACGUCUCGCGCCUCAGCCGAUCCGGUUGUGCCCCGUCGUUUAUACGAGUUGUGGGUCCAUGUGGAGGCUCGGCUUGAUAUGUAUAAGGCUUUUCACUCCGAGGGAAGGGCUACUGAGGCGGAGGUUCAGGUUGUGCACGCCGAAGCUCGUGCAGCUAGUGAGUCAUGCGGGUACAACCCCCUCACACUUGACGAGGAUGAUUUCAACUCUGAUGAUGCGAAUUGCCUUGCUUCAUAUUCGUGGUACGAAGACUCUUACCCCGCUGGGGAUGAUGUGUAGUCUUAGUUUGUAUUUGCUUUUGUUUAGGGAUUUUUGCACGGGUCGUACUUGGGCCCGUUUGUAGGGGCCAGUGUAAAUGAUGUUUUGCUGUAAUGUAAAAUUUACUUUUGUCGGCUUGUUUUGUUCUUGCAUUCAUCGCACACAUGAUAUCGUUGACGCCCUCGGCUAUUGGGAUGUUGCUUCAAACUGUCAUCGAGGCGGGAUCACGUCGUAGUUCCAACGAGGUCGAACUUAUGUUUUCGUCGAUGGCCUUGGCCAGUGGGGUGCUGCUUCGACCUGUCGUCGAAGUAGAAUCCCGUCGUGGUUCGAACUUACAUUGUUGUUGAUGGCCUUGGCCAUUGGGAUGUUGCUUCGAACUGUCAUCGAAGUAGAAUUCCAUCGUGGUUGGAACGAGGUCGAACUUACAUUGUCGUUGAUGGCCUUGGCCAUUGGGAUGUUGCUUCGGACUGUCGUCGAAGUAGAAUUCCGUCGUGGUUUGAACGAGGUCGAACUUACAUUGUUGUCGAUGGCCUUGGCCAUUGGGAUGUUGCUUCGGAUUGUCGUCGAAGUAGAAUCCCAUCGUGGUUCGAACGAGGUCGAACUUACAUUGUUGUCGAUGGCCUUGGCCAUUGGGAUGUUGCUUCGAACUGUCGUCUAAGUAGAAUCCCGUCGUGGUUCGAACGAGGUCAAACUUACAUUAUCGUCGAUGGCCUUAGCCACUGGGAUGUUGCUUCGAACUGUCGUCGAAUUAGAAUCCCAUCGUGGUUCGAACGAAGUUGAACUUACAUUAUCGUCGAUAGCCUUGGUCAUUGGGAGGUCGAACUUACAUUAUUGGCGAUGGCCUUAGCCACUGGGAUGUUGCUUCGAAUUGUCGUCGAAGUAGAAUCUCGUCGUGGUUCGAACGAGGUCGAAGAUAUUGCUUCGAACUGUCAUCGAAGUAGAAUCCCGUCGUGGUUCGAACGAGGUCGAACUUACAUUAUCGGCGAUGGCCUUGGCCACUGGGAUGUUGCUUCAAACUGUCGUCGAAGUAGAAUCCCGUCGUGGUUCGAACGAGGUCGAACUUACAUUAUCGUCGAUGGCCUUGGACAUUGGGAUGUUGCUUCCGUCGUGGUUCGAAUGAGGUGGAACUUACAUUAUUGGAGAUUUGAUUGUAUUCCCGUAAGGAGACGUCACAUGUCGACUAGUGGAGAUCUGGUUCUACACAUACAAUGGAGGUUUGAUUCCAUAGAUACAAUAGAGAUUUGAUUUCGUACUUACAAUGGAGAUUUGAUUCCGUACAUACAAUGGAGAUUUGAUUCCGUACAUACAAUGGAGAUUUGAUUAUGUAUAUGUAGUCCCUUCAUUACUUCGAUCCGGAGGUCAUAUCGACGGGUCGAGGUAAUGAACAGCAUGUCGCUCCUUAAGGUGUCCCCCUUGCCUCCUCGUUAAAAAACUCUCGGGAAAACCCGAUUGGAACAAAAACCGGGUGAGGGAAAAAGAGUACGACUUAGGUGACACCUUCUUUUAGAAGUGGAAGUACUUGAGAUAGGCGACGUUCCAGUUGUUUUGGAGUAGUUUUCCUUCCAUUGUUUCUAGCUGGAACGCUCCUUUAUUUGCUGCUGCUACGAUUUUGUAUGGUCCGUCCCAGUUCGUUCCCAAUUUCCUUCAUUAGGGUCUUUUGACGCUUGUGUUUUGGUCUUGAGGACGUAGUCGCCAACUUUGAGUGGUCGCACCUUGGCUCUCUUGUUGUAGUAUCUUUCUACUUGCUACUUCUGGGCUACCAUUCUUAUGUGGGUCGUGUCUCUUCGUUCUUCAACUUCAUCCAGAUCUUGUAGCCUGCUUUCAUCGUUGCCUAUUCUGCUCUCGUUGGAGUAUCUCAAACUAGGCUCCCCGACCUCGACGGGUAUGACUGCAUCGGUCCCAUAGACCAGUGAAUAUGGUGUUUCUCCUGUGUUGGUUUUUGGCGUAGUGCGGUAUGCCCAUAAUACUUCCGGUAGUAGCUCAGGCCAUAGCCCUUUAGCUUCCCCAAGCUUCUUUUUCAAUAUGUUCAAUAUUACUUUAUUGGAGGAUUCGACUUGACCAUUGGCGGCUGGGUGGUAUGUCCUGAAGAGUAUUCGUUUGAUGCGCCACUUUUCGAAAAACUUUGUCAUUCUUUUUCCGAUGAACUAAGGUCCGUUGUCACAGCUGAUUUCUUCGGGGUUGCCAAAACGGCAUAUAAUGUUUUUCCAUAUGAAGGCGACGACCUCCUGCUUGCGUAUCUGAGAGUAUGCACCUGCUUCCACCCAUUUAGAAAAGUAGUCAGUUAAAACCAAAAGGAAGCGUACCUUACCUCGUCCUGCUGGGAGGGGGCCAACUAUGUCCAUUCCCCACUUUAUGAACGGCCAUGGCGAAGUAACGGAAUGAAGGAGCUCCCCUGCUUGGUGUAUCAUAGGGGCGUACUUUUGGCAUUGUUCAUAUCUCCUGACAUAGUCGGCGGCUUCUUUUUUCAUUGUAGGCCAGUAGUAUCCGGCGCGAAUGAGGCAUCGGACGAGGGCACGGUUUCCUGUGUGGGUGCCACAGUGCCCUUCGUGUACAUCUUCCAGCACUUGCCUUGUUUGAUGUGGCCCAAGACAUUUGGCUAGAGGGCCGCCAAACGUUCUUUUGUAGAGAUCGCCAUUUACUAGGCUAUACCGGGCUGCCUCGACGUGGUCUAUUGCGGAAUGAAGGAGGGUGACCACGUUUUCUUUGUUGAUAUUCUUGGUGGCCGCAGCUAGUUUGGCGAGGCCAUCUUCUUCGAUAUUUUGCGCCCUGGGUAUUUGGUCGAGGCGGCAUUCAUCAAAUUCUGGCAGUAGUUUGUGGAUUUAUGACUGGUAUCUUUGUAGCCUCUGCUCUUUGAUUUGGAAAGUCCCGGUGACCUGAUUCACCACGAGUUGGGAGUCGCAGUGGAGGACGAGUCGUCGAGCGCCAUAUUUGAGGGCUAACUUCAAACUUGCAAUCACAGCUUCAUACCCGACCUCGUUGUUAGUCAUCUCGGGGUAUCGUAUGGACUGUCGAAUUACUUCGCCUGUAGGGACCUUGAGGACGAGUCCCAGUCCCGAUCCCGAGGCAUUAUAGGCACCACCGGUGUAGAGGACCUACAGGUCGAUAUGUGUAGAAGAGCAGAGUGCUUCCUGUUCUACCUCGGGCAAUAUUUUCGUGCAGAAAUCAGCGAAAGUCUGCGAGCACCUGCGACUUGAUGGCAGUUCAUGGUUGGUACGUUAUGUCGUGCUCGCUUAGUUCUAUAACCCAUUUGGCUAGUCUACCAGAUAGUUCAGGUUUUUGUAGGAUACCCCUUAGGGGGAAGGUUGUCACCACUUUUAUGGGGUGACAUUGGAAGUACGGUCUAAGCUUCCGUGAAGCUAUGACAAAUGCCAGAGCUAGUUUUUCAAGGUGAGGGUACCUCGUCUCGGCAUCGAUUAAAGUUUUGCUGACUUAGUAAAUCGAAGACUGCGUACCUUUAUUUUCACGGACCAAGAUGGCGCUUACCGCAACUUCGGAAACUGCUAGAUACACAUGUAGGCAUUCACCUUGGUCUGCUCUGACGAGCAGUGGUGGCGAGGAUAGAUACGUUUUCAGCUUUCUCAGGGUGUCGAUGCAUUCAUCGUUCCAUUGCAACCCGUGGUCUUUCCUUAGUACAUUGAAGAAUUUAUGGCAUCUAUCCGAGGAUAGCGAAAUGAACCUUGAUAGGGUGGUUAUUCGUCCCGUUAACUUCUGCACCUGCUUUUUGCUGGUCAAUAUUUCCGGUAUUGCAUCGAUGGCCUUGAUUUGAUCUGGGUUGACCUCGAUUCCCCUUUGUGACACUAGGAAACCGAGGAAGUUUCCAGAAGUCGCGCCAAAGGCGCACUUUUUGGGAUUCAGUUUCAUUCCGUACUGCCUUAGUAUUUCGAAGGCUUUCUUCAGAUGACCAAUGUGAUCUUCUUUCUUUGCUGACUUCACUAGCAUGUCAUCAAUGUAAACCUCCAUUGUCUUACCGGGUUGUUCUUUGAACAUUUUGGUGACCAACCUUUAAUACAUGGCCCCUGCAUUCUUAAGCCCGAACGGCAUCACCUUGUAGCAGUACGUACCUUGGUGAGUGAUGAAAGUGGUCUUUUCUUGAUCUUCUUCAGCCAUUAGAAUUUGAUUAUAACCGGAGUACGCGUCCAAGAAGCUCAGUAGUUCGUGCCCCGCUGUUGCAUCAAUAAGUUGGUCGUUGUGGGGGUAACGGGAAAGAGUUCUUCGGGCAUGCUUUGUUCAAAUCGGUGAAGUCGACACACAUUCGCCACUUCCCGUUCUUCUUUUUGACCAUGACCACAUUGGUGACCCAUUGGGGUAUUUCGAUUCUCUGAUGGAACCGUUGGCGAGUAAUUUAUCAACUUCUUCGCUGACCGCCUCAUUGAUUGCGGCAUUGAACUUUCUCCUCAUUUGUCGUACCGGUGGAUAAAGUGGAUCGACAUUUAGCUUGUGUGUGGCUAUUUCCCUUGGGAUUCCUGGCAUAUCUGAGUGGGCAAAAGCAAAUAAAUCGGCGUUGUUAGUUAAAAACUCACGAUACUCACCUGGCUCCGAUAGGUUGUGCCCAACAUAAGCCUUCUUGGUGCAGUCGGUGUUAUCUAACUGGACGGGAUCAAGAUCUUCUACGGUUGCUUUGCAUGCUUCUACAAUGUCCGAAUCUUUGAUGGCCUCUACUUGUAUGUCGGGUUUGGUGCCGGACAUGGCUGACUGCUAUGCUUCCGCGCUUGCCCCUUUUAGCUGUUUGGUGUGUGUGCAAUAUUGGGCGAUCCAGUAGCAUUCUUGGGCGGUACGUGGCUCGCCUCGGAUGCUGAAUAUCCCUCAUGGGGUGGGAAAUUUGAUCACUUGAUAGAAGCUUGAGGGGACGGCUCGCAUGGCGUGUAUCCAUGGUCGCCAUAUGAAGGCGUUGUAGGCCGUUUCCUAGUUCAUGACGUGGAAUGUUAUUUCCAGGGUGACCCCUCCUACUAGGACAGGUAGCACUAUUUCUCCGGAUGUCCGCUCUACUGCAUUAUUAAUACUCGUUUNNNNNNNNNNNNNNNNNNNNNNNNNUACCAUGAUUCUUUUUACAUCGGUGUCAGCGAUGCGUAAAGUUAUAACCAAAGCAUCAUAGUGAGGGAAAGACAAACCAUCGGUAUCUGACUUAUCGAAGAUGAUACUAUCUUCGAGGUCAUCAUACCGUUCGUGGGCGGCUUUCCGUUUGAGUUUAUGCAUGGUGGUGAACUUCACAUGGUUGAUUACCGUAUCAUCGCCGCCGCCAAUGAUCAUUUGUAUGGUAUGCGCUGGUGAUGGUGUCUUUAGAGGUCUUUGAGAUAGGUCGCGCCCUCGAGCGAAGUUGGACCUUCCUUUAUAGCUUAGCAGUUCUUUCAGGUACCCCUAGUUCAACAUCCUAACUACUUCUUGUCGCAGACCUAUGCAAUCUUCGGUCUUGUGUCCUCUUUCUUGGUGGAAUUCACAGAGGACAUUCGACCUCCUAGUGCUUGGAUCCGAUUUCAUCUUUUGCAGCCACUGCACCUUCGUGCCCAGUUUUUCUAGUGCGUACACUAUUUCUGAAGGGGAAACACAAAAAUUAUGAGCAGAUAGUAGUGGAGGCAUACCUCUUUCGUUUCGGAAGGGUACCAUGUGUCGUGGCAUGACGUUCGCGUGUCGUGGAGGGGACGGGUUGGAUGUGCGGAUAUAGGGUUGAUGCCUUUCUCGAUUGAAACAUGGUGGUUGAUCUCUUCGCCCAUCGUUACGUCGAUCUCUCCUUGUCUCGGUCUGGACUGAUGUUAAUCGCUGAAGCGGCCCAUUCAGGUCAUCCUCGUCUGCCCUUACCUCGGCGCAAUAAGCAUUGUGGAUUUCUUCCCAUGUGGUUGGGGGGUACUUCAUGAGUCUACUGAGAAGUUUUUUGGUCGCCUUUGAUCCAUUCCUGUUUAACCCAUUUUGAAAGGCUGCCACUGCCAUCCCUUCUGACACGUUCGGUAAACUCAUCCUUACUUUGUUGAAUCGGGCCAGGAAAUCCCGAAGUCCCUCGCCCAUCGUUUGUCGGACGACGAAGAUAUCAUUGACUCUAGCCUCGACCUUCUUCGCUCCUACAUAGGCGAUGGCGAAUUUAUCCCCAUCUCUUCGAACGUCGAUAUCGAUCGCGCUGGUAGCUGGGAGUACCAUGUCAAUGCUCCCCCUGUCAAAGUCUCGCCGAACUUUUUUAACAGCACAGACGGUACCUGCUCUUUUGACAGAUCAUUGCCCUUUACUGCAGUAACAUAAUGGAUUAGGUGAUCUUCCGGGUCCGUGGUCCCGUCAUAUAUCUUCAAGUAUGGUGGCAUCUUAAAGGCCUUUGGAAUAGGAUGAAGAGCAGCCCCUUCGUGGUAUGGCUGUUCGACGAAUCGGCCCACAUCACGUUUUGGUAAUAGCUUCAGAGCACCCGGUAUUUUGUCAACCCUCUCCUGAUAUUCCUUCAUUUGGUCGCGGAGUGUUUUUUUCUCAUUUUCCAUCUCUUCCAUUUUCUUUAAGAUGGCCAUGAGUGCAUCGUCACCUGCAUUAGUAACAGUGCGGGUGUUACAUGUUUGUGUAGCGCUUGGCUCAUUGGCGGCAGCUGCGAUGUCUGUAGGUGGCACUUCUUCGACGUCUCCUUGAGUGGGUUUCUCGAGCAUGUUGCUCAAAGCACUCGUUAACCAUUCUUCUAGUAGCGUUUUGACGGCUGGUGGGGCUUCCCCCGCCAUGGAUGUUGAGGUUCCCCUUUCGCGUAAGAUCGUUAGAUCCCCGUGCGGAAGAGGUGAGAUCUCUCCCUCCGGUGUAGCGCUUGGUGUUGAAUUCUCAUUGUCUUCUCUGUCGGCUUCGUUGAGGGAGUUCAGGAGAUUAUUCGAGACAUCUGCUACCGCCUUCAGCCUCGCUUUCUUUCCCGCCAUUGUUGGUUUUCAUGAUGUUUGAAGAAAAGUAAUUAUCACUUUCGGGAAUCUAGAUGAGAACUAUGAUUUCAGCUACAGAAAUCCCCGCAGACGGCGCCAAAUUAUUUGACUCAAAAGAUGUUGAGACCUUUUUGAACAAAUCAAUCGAAGAUGAAGGGAUAAAUCGUAGCUGAAGAUAAUAAUCUCUAAAAUAAUGAUAGGUAAAAGGAAGAAAAUUGAAGAGUUUCUUUUCAUUCAAGAUUGGUAAGUUUUUUCUCCGUCCCCCUUUACAAGGUCUUUCGUCUCCCUUAUAUACUAGAGAUGAAACCUUCCCAAUUGUAAGAAACCAAAAAUACCAGGAAUAUUCUUAAUGUACCCUAAUGGGUUUACACUUCUACAAGGGUUGUACGGUUUUUCCUUUCGCCUUGGGGUCGUCUUCCUUGGGACGCCGGUUCAGAGUUACCCGGUCAUUUGUCAUACUCGUUAUAGGUCGUGGUCGGUCAAAUUUGGACCCAUACAUAAUUUGUGUUAAGAUUGGCUCGUGCCGUACUCUGGUAUAAGAAGUGAACAAAAGGAAUGAAAUUGUCAAAUUAAAAAUUAGGAAUAUUACCCCCAAAUAAUCUAAUUCCAAUUAAGCUGACAAAUACGGGGAUAGCAAAUAAAGCUAUUGAGAGUUCAGAAUGUGAUGAAAGCUGAGACAUUAAUAAGACAAAUGCUUUGUGUUGCAAUUUCCGCCCAUGCACCAAAGCAAUAAGUACAUCAAUUGCUUCUGAAACAUAAAAUCAAUGCUAAUAGGUUACCAAAAGAAGAAACUGUUACUCCUAACGAAUUAAGAAAAUGAGCAAGUAUUUUGUAAAAAAAAAAAACUUUAUCUCAAAAAUUUAAUCUAUUUCUACCACACUACUUAAGAAAAGAAUUAGCAUACAACCUUAGCAUAUUUGGAGCAUGUCAGAAAGACUUGCCACGUCGACCUCAAAAUUGGUAGCUACUAUUAGUAAGUAGUGAGAUAGAUAAGAUAAUUAACUUUGGGUAACAUACACCCUUACCGUUUUAGCAAAAUCACAACUAUGUCGUCCCUUGACUGCCUUGAUUUCAAAACCCAGUAAAUUAAAAUUAGCAUGCUUCAAAAACUCCAGUAUUAUGAGGUAACUCUAAAAAAAAUGGUAUGAUCUGAAGCAGCUCCAAGAACCAGAUGCUAAUGAGCUAAAGGCUGAAGCUCUUAUGAUCUUAUGGACACACCAUAAUCAGUGUAGCAUACUAUAGUUAUUAUCUAGUGGCAUAAAAAAUAUUAACAAAAUUGGCAGUCAUGAGAGAGACGAAGAAGCUUGAAAUUAAAGUCAUAGGACACAUAGCAUACAAUGGGAAUGAAGAGAAAUGGAUCAGCCAGAUUCUGAAGAAAAAGGAAAAAACCUAGAACACCAGGCAGUAACUUUGCAGGUGACAACUUAAAAGUUAAAAGUAUUGAAGAUUCUAAUAUGUAACCAGCUAUUAAAAAAGAAUUUAUGUAAAACACUUUAUAAAGGAUCUAUGUAAAAAAGUUCAUAGACAAGGAGAUAUAUUUUUGUACAAGUUGCGUAUUAGCUCGCAUAUCAAUAUUCAACUUGCAGAUAUUAUUGACGUGUUAAUAAAGCAUGAAGAAUAACUUAGUAAUGCAGGAAUUAUGGACUACAAUAGGAAAAUAGUAAACAGGUAAACUAACCUAAUAUGACAGUAGCAAAAAAUAACUACAACAACAUCCAAAAGGCAGCAGAAAAAGUGGCAUCAACCGUUUUGAAAAACAUCAGCAAAAGUGGCUUCAAUCACAUCCAUAAGCAGCACAGGUGUACGUGCUCAAUGUAGGAAAUUUUCAACUUCUACUCAUAGUUCUCCACCUUUUCAGAGCUCAAAUCCAGCAAAUCCUUUUAAGAAAAAGGAUGAUAGCAAUUAAAAAGCGAUGCAAUCUGAUAUAAAUAGCUGGUAUAGAUACAGAGUUUAAAAUAGACGCAAAUAUUAUAAUCUACGACUAUAAUAACUAUAGGAUAAUCACACAGAUCAUGUGCGUGCUAUUGGGAGCUGUAGUAAAGCUACAUUUAAAGUUGAUAGACUUGUUGAACUAAGAAACUAAAAGUCACAACUUUUGGUUUUGAGUGUGGUGAGGAGCUAUUUUUGAAACUUCUAACACAAUAAAUGACUAAACCUAGAUACUUCUAAAGAGAAGAUACAUAGUGUGCACAUGUUCAAUAUGCUAAGAUAGUAGCAAUUUCAUAUUCAUCAUCAGUAGCCUUCCAUUUGACAAGAUAUUUCACUUGAAAAGCACAUAGUAGAAAAAUAGUGAAAAAAGAAUUUAGAAGAUAGAAACAUAACGCAUAAAUUGCAUACUCCUCACUACUUGUUAGGUCCUUGAACCUAGAUAGGCACUUUGGUAUAAGGGACGUUUCCAUUACAUUGCAUUGCAUCUCGUCACACCUCCUCUGGCACGAGGUCACAUUUAGCUCAAUCAAUUUCUUCUUGGAACUGUAUUUUAGACACCAAAUGAUUAAACAUAAAAAUAUCACUUAAACAUAUCUCACUUCAAUUUAUACUCUAUCCAGAAGGUCAGAAAUGUGAAUCACUCAUUUAUCUGACAUACACUCUAUAAGCCAUGAGGUUGCCUUCUCACAGCUAUUUCCUCAGGAAUAAUAUUCCAAUACAUGUGAAACCAAUAAGUACCCAUCAGCUUAUUUCAUAAAAUACAAUUUUAAUACUCCACUCAAUAAAAUAUACGACCCUCCAUUACAAAUUAAAGCAGCCACAAAAACUUGUUAUAGUUUAUCUUGGAAGUGAGAAGUUCAUCUGUUACCUCUCAAAUAUAAGCUACCUAUUAUCCAUUACUAGCUCCCUCUUCUUCUUGAAUUUCACAGGAGAGAACAACUCUUGCAUGAUUUAAAUCGCACCUUUUCUGGCUCCUCAUUAAACAACAACUCCUCACACUUGAUUUCAUGAAGAACUGCAAAUCUGCUCUCCAGUAACAACUAAGAAGCGAUUCAUUAGAGUUAGUUACACUUUAUUUUUGAGUUAGCUGUGAGACUCUAGUGCAACAAAUCAAUCAAUGAAAAGUUAUAACCAGUGAGCAAUACACAUUAUGAACAUAACAAACUCUUUAAUAGCAGGGAGAACAUCAAAGAAGGUUGAAGAAACUUGUCUUACCAAGAACAUCAUAAGAGCAAGACAACUUGAUAUAAACCAGGUAAAAACUCUACUGAGAUCUAAUUUAAUGGACAUUUUUGCCAUAUUACAUACAACUCAUGAAUCAAAUAGCGCAGUUUAGGUUUGCGAUUAUUAGGUUAUAGAAAUUAUUGAAAUUCAUUAACUAAAAGCAUGCCCAAAUGAACAAUAACGUAAACAAACACUAAUGUAAACUAUCAAGCCUGUAUGUAUUUAUCGAUAUACUGCAACUGAACCACGAUAUCUAAAGUUAAGGGCCAUAUGGUAGGAACUUAAGGCUAAAGUCUUUCCGUGUCACAUGUACCAUUGUUACAACAACCCGACUACAGUAAGGCAAGAGUAGGCAUUGUUUUUGUUGAUCGGUGGCACUCAAAAAAAGAUAACUGAAAUCAAUGUAUUUUUUCAAUAAGGUCUUAGGCUACAUUAUUAAAGCAAGGCAAGCUGUGGUUACUUGAUAUGAGAAGUUCCACAUUUGUCCAAAAGCGCAUUUUCUUUUUCGUCCUAGUAAAUAGGCUAUUGUGAAAUAUUCUGUAUAAAUAAGUAAAGGUAAAAAUCUCAUUUUACUUUAUGUUUUUUUUAUUGGCUUUCCCAAAUCUUUCAUCAGAACUUCGGGUCAUUGUUGACCGAUCAUUAUGACAAGCUGGACACAUAUUAGUCUACUUAGUAUUGGCUAGUAUAUAGAUGAACACAUUCGUAUUGAGUUAUAUUCCUUUACAUCUCAACUUAUGGAAUUGCUAGUUGUUUGUAUCAUCACGAAAUUGGAUCGUAAAUAUAUUAUUAGCAAGAAAUACAGAGCUAAAAAGUAAAUUGACCACUAUUGCACUAUUUUUCGCCAAGUAUAUUGUCACAUUUUAAGUGAUACUAUCAUACUAUGGACAUAUGUUUUACAAUUUCACUUAAAAAGAAACUAAAUUUUGCUGAGGAGCUUCAGCGGAUAGGAGACACAAUUAUCGCCCACAAGUACACAGUGGCAAACAUCCGAUCAAGUUGCCUAUACACACCUUUUUAUCAUAUAGGUUCUUAAGUUUCCUUUUCACUUAAUUAAUCUAUAUUAUUAUAAAAGCAUGAAUACAAUAUCUGUUUACAAAAAUAACCUUAUAAUAUUAAGCAUAAUAACUUAUAAUAAAACAUAACCUGAAUUCUAGAUAUUAGCCUUAUAAUCCUAUUAGUUUUAGGACAUAAUACUACACGUUAUGAAUUCUAGAAAAGCAUGAAAAAGUAAUACUUACAGUUAAAAGUUCAUAAGCAUUCUACAAUUUAAACUUCAAAAGAGAUGGUGAAAACCAGAACGACUUUUUCGUUGCUUGGCAUAUAAUCACUAUUCACAUAUUUAUUUUAGAAAUUGUGCUAUACAUAUAUGUAAUAUCCAGAUUUUGUGUAAAUAUCUUACAUUCGCCACCCCCAAAAAUAUGCACAUGCAUAUAUCAUUGAUUAAUUUAUCUAUCUAUAUCUAUAUUUAUUUAUAUCUAUAUCUAUCAAUAUCUAUAUCUAUAUCUAUAUUAUUAUAAAAGCACGAAUGUUCUGCGUUAAAUGUUGAACGACCAAAAUAUCCUCCAAAUAUUGAUCGACUUGUACGUCCUUUAUUAAUUAGAGAUAUCUCUAUAAUAUUAAUGUGCUAAAACGUAAAAGUACUUCAUUAUUUGUAGAGUUCAAGUCAAAUUGUAAAACCUUAAAAAUUAUGCCUCAUAAUAUGAAUUCAUCCAAAUCAAUGAUUGUGUUCAAGUGAAAUUGGAAGUCUUCCGCUUCUGGAUAUUAAGAGAGUCUUGAAAUAAAGCAAAUCAAACCAGCUCAUGAUUAUGCCCAAGUAAUACCCUUUUAUUAUUCCCGAUUCAAAUCAACGGCAAAGCAUAACAGAAGAAAGAUGUAAAGCAAUUUGUAUCCAAACUAGGAGCUCAUGAUUCUUGCCGAGUUCAUAGAAUGCUUGGAUUUAGCUUUACAAUUGGAAGUUUUAAUUAUGAUUUAAACAAUAAAUAUUAAAGCACAGGGGUUAGCAAUCCCAAAAAUUAGAUUGUAUUUGUCGCUAUAUGUUUUCUCACACGAAUACCUAUAUAUUUUACUUUUCGGAGAAAAAUUAAUGUCGUAAAUAGAUCAAGAUGGAGUAACCAAAGAAUCAAAAGGGAAAAUACACCCAAAAUAUCAUCUAUAAAGAAAGUAUUAGAUAAGAUACGAUCUCACUACAUAUUUCUAUGAUAUAAAUAGAUAUACUAUCUAAUUAACUUAACUAAAUUACUUAUAUUUGCAUUUUGACUUCAAGUAUUAAAACGAUUUUUGCCUCUUCGAUUUUUCACUUCAAUUGCUAUAUUAAAAAAUUCAUAUAAAUAAUUGAUUAAAUAUUUACCUGCAAAGCAGGUACAUAGAGACUAGUAUAUUAAAAGAAAAAGUAUCAGUCAAUAAUAUUUAUUUUUUGAUCAAAAAAACUACAAACUUUGUAAAAUAAAUCUAAUACAAACACUCCCGGCAAAAAAACAAAGAUAAUGGUUGUACUCGGAAAAAGAAUUGCAUGCUAAUAUUUCCAAAAGCAUAUAAACAAAUAAAAAGAAUUUCAUCAGCGUAAGCGGUAAGCGACUGGUUUUAAGCAAAUACAUGUAGCCUGGUAUGUAAAGGCCUCAAGAAAUAAUUAUAAAAAUUCCUAAAUAAAGAUUUUUUUUUUUUUAAAAGUCGAACUCACCGCAAUCGAGAACAAAAAAGCCUUGGUGCCCAUCAUCAAUUUCCCAUUCAAGUAUCUAACAGAUAAAUCAGUGAUGAGCAAAGGAGAUAAGAAUAGAGCCAGUUCGAGCUCCAAGGAGAAGAGGUUCAAGGAACCGAACAACAGAAGAGGAAGAUAACAAAAUAACCUUGCAAUUCCUAUUAGCUAUAGCUAAUUAGUGCACUUGAUCCUCUCUCAAUCUUGAUGAUAGAGAAAAAAGCGUAAUAUCUGAAAAGGAGAUUUCAGAGGAAAGAUCGAGAAGUUUGAUUAGGAAGGGAAUAAUAUAGAAAACGUGGCAGAUUUCAG
Molecule: long non-coding RNA, 17042 nt
Filed under: Nicotiana tabacum (common tobacco)
Lineage: Eukaryota; Viridiplantae; Streptophyta; Magnoliopsida; Solanales; Solanaceae
Description: long non-coding RNA (NTAB_LNC006180)
Source: RNAcentral